This 220-nucleotide long non-coding RNA is filed under the name Brassica rapa (field mustard). Its description in RNAcentral is "long non-coding RNA (BRAP_LNC000463)". The record is from RNAcentral. Lineage: Eukaryota; Viridiplantae; Streptophyta; Magnoliopsida; Brassicales; Brassicaceae.
UUUCGCCGACCCGGAUGGUUCGGCCUCGUACGGCCACUUGUACGACCAUCCUUUGUACGGACGACCCGACUUCAACUCCUCUCCAUUCUUCUAUGCUUCUUUAAACCUUCAGUCUAUUAUCAUGCAGCCUUCUCUAUUUGAUCACUUUGUUCAACACUGGAUAUUAAGCUUAACUGGAAUUCUUCUCUAUUACUUGUGAGAGCCUUCAUGGCUACUGUAG